UGCAACGCCUGUAUUUCGUUGCCAAUACUUUGGAGUUGGCCACCAACCACCAGCUGGAGUCCAAACCUAGUUUGGUUUUGGAACAACGGUUUGGGUGUUUGUGAACAAAGAACGCAAGAAAAUUUAGA
RNAcentral lists this small RNA (128 nucleotides) under Proboscia alata. RNAcentral describes it as "partial transfer-messenger RNA". The record is from RNAcentral. Lineage: Eukaryota; Bacillariophyta; Melosirophyceae; Probosciales; Probosciaceae.